RNAcentral lists this long non-coding RNA (295 nucleotides) under Mytilus galloprovincialis (Mediterranean mussel). The record is from RNAcentral. Lineage: Eukaryota; Metazoa; Mollusca; Bivalvia; Mytilida; Mytilidae.
AUAACUUAGGGAGCUACCAUUUAAUUUUUAUGGGGGGGGGGGGGGGGGGGGUUGGGGGGGCUAGGAUGAAAUUUGAAAAAAAUAGGCAGGACAGGAGUUUUGAGUAAAAAAAAAGGCAGGAUGAGACACUUGCAAAAAAAAAAAGUCAGGACGACAAUUUAGGUAAAAAAAAGUCAGGAUAAACUAAAAGAGUGAAAAAUAAAAAGACAGGACAGAGAUUACAGCUAAAAAAAAAUGCAGGACAAAAUUUUUCAUCCUAGCCCCCCCAUAAAAAUCAAAUGGUAGCUCCCUUAGU